This is a long non-coding RNA of Mus spicilegus (steppe mouse), 1775 nucleotides long. The record is from Ensembl. Lineage: Eukaryota; Metazoa; Chordata; Mammalia; Rodentia; Muridae.
UCAUUUUUUUUUUCCAGAAAAACCUUCCACUGCCAUCAUUUGAAAAUUGAUUUACGGGGAGGGGAGAAGGAGGAAGAAGGGAUAAUAUAGAUAUCAGGAUAUCUAUCAUAAAAUUAUCUCGGGUUUUUUAAAUAAAAAAGUCAAAUAUGCAAAAGUAAUAGUUAAUGUAAAGGAGGAAAAAAAGCAACUGCUUAAAAAUAAUCCCUUUAACUAGCUGCAAGAAAAGUUUCAUGUUAUCAACUGAUAUCAAAAACAGGAGGGGAAAAAACGAAAUAUUUCUCACAGGCUUCCAAAAAGGUCAUAAAAAUGCAAAAUUAAUGUCUUUGCUCAGUGGUGCGAAUCGAAUUGCAAGACGACAAACUUGUGAACACUGCUGGAAAAUCCCACCUACACAAAAAUGCAAUCGGAAAAAGAGUACGUAAAAAAGAGUUAGAAACAUGCUUUCUUAUCUUUACAAAGGGAAAAAAAUAGGCACCAUACUUCACAACGCUUUUUCCAUAAAACCAGUUGCACAUUUUGCUGGACUUGGGAGCCGCUCGCAGAGAGCACCGCUGCCGCGGACUCCCAGACACAGCGCCUUGUCUAGAGAACCAUCGCAUGCUAGGAAAACUUGAUUGAGGAAAAGGCUUAAGACUAUGCUCGUCAGCUUUCCCAAAUACAAACAAUAAUCAAAGAAGUGGGAAGAAAAAAAAAGAAGAAGAAGAAGAAGAAGAAAAAAAAACAAAAAACAAAAAAAAAGGAAAAAAAAAAGAAUAGGACAAGAAUGCCACUGAGAAGGUACUCACCGAGCGGGAGUAAAAUGUUGGAAUAAAAAUGAGAUUUAGGAAAAUACAGUAUGGCGGUGGAAGAAGGAAUGAAGCGCGUUUUUUUCUCAGUCUCUGCCUCGGGCACUGACACGUGACUCGGAGCCAGGCGGACUUGCAGGCAGCGGGGCCACCGCGGCUGCUGGGCGACCUCGGAGCCCUCGAAGCCCUCUGAGCCGCUCGGGCGGGCGCGGCGGUGAGAGCCCGGCGAGGCGGCCUCCUCGGCGAGCCCGGACUAGCAGGUGCCGCUCACGCUGGGCUGAGCGCACGCACACGCACACGCAGACGGGCAGGGCGCGGGCUAGCGGGGACCGCGCGGGGCGGGCCGGAGGCGCGCAGCUGCCGCCGCCGCCGCCGCCGCCGCCGCCGCCGCCGCUGCUGGUACUGCCGCUGGUGCUGAUGCUGCGGGCGCUCCGCCAAAGAAGAACAGCUCAGGGAUGUUCAGCGGAGGCAUCAGAGGGCACACAACUUGCUGCCCACUGCAAAGUUGCCGCUUGCCACUUCCUUAUUAUUCGGUUUUCAUCUCCAGGCUGCAAGUCCAAGGAGAGGAUCGAGGCAGACAAGUGAGUCCAUUGUGUGAGUGUUUGCCCGGCAGCAGGCACCUGGCGACGGUCGAGAGGGGGAGAUGUGCGCCACUCACUAGAAGGCUGCCAAAGAUCAGCUACAAGCCAAGCGGCUGAGCAGUGCUUUGGAAGGUGGAAGAAACAAGGAGUUCACCAAGCAUCUGCUGAGGGAUGCCUGUCCCCGGAACAAAGAUGCCAUCAGCCAAUCACUGACUGCUUUGGGAUUCUUCUACUGCUGCCUGUUGCAGAAUCAGCUUUCUGGACUCUGCAAUGAAUUAAUUUUUCUUCAUCUUUCAUAAACUAUUCUAUCAAACCCGUUUCUCUGUAUUGCUUUGAAUGUGGUUUGCACAAAAUUAGUUGCCAACGUCUGUAUUAUAAAAUAAAAAUAAAUACAGUUUGUUGUCUCUCA